Molecule: ribosomal RNA, 465 nt
Filed under: Vreelandella stevensii
Lineage: Bacteria; Pseudomonadati; Pseudomonadota; Gammaproteobacteria; Oceanospirillales; Halomonadaceae
Description: partial 16S ribosomal RNA
Rfam family: Bacterial small subunit ribosomal RNA
Source: RNAcentral
CCUACGGGCGGCAGCAGUGGGGAAUAUUGGACAAUGGGGGCAACCCUGAUCCAGCCAUGCCGCGUGUGUGAAGAAGGCCCUCUGGUUGUAAAGCACUUUCAGUGAGGAAGAACGCCUGGUGGUUAAUACCCAUCAGGAAAGACAUCACUCACAGAAGAAGCACAGGCUAACUCCGUGCCAGCAGCCGCGGUAAUACGGAGGGUGCGAGCGUUAAUCGGAAUUACUGGGCGUAAAGCGCGCGUAGGUGGCUUGAUAAGCCGGUUGUGAAAGCCCCGGGCUCAACCUGGGAACGGCAUCCGGAACUGUCAAGCUAGAGUGCAGGAGAGGAAGGUAGAAUUCCCGGUGUAGCGGUGAAAUGCGUAGAGAUCGGGAGGAAUACCAGUGGCGAAGGCGGCCUUCUGGACUGACACUGACACUGAGGUGCGAAAGCGUGGGUAGCAAACAGGAUUAGAUACCCUGGUAGUC